Molecule: ribosomal RNA, 102 nt
Filed under: uncultured Brevibacterium sp.
Lineage: Bacteria; Bacillati; Actinomycetota; Actinomycetes; Micrococcales; Brevibacteriaceae
Description: partial 16S ribosomal RNA
Rfam family: Bacterial small subunit ribosomal RNA
Source: RNAcentral
CUACGGGAGGCAGCAGUGGGGAAUAUUGCACAAUGGGGGAAACCCUGAUGCAGCGACGCAGCGUGCGGGAUGACGGCCUUCGGGUUGUAAACCGCUUUCAGC